CCUACGGGAGGCAGCAGUGGGGAAUAUUGCACAAUGGGGGAAACCCUGAUGCAGCGACGCCGCGUGAAGGAAGAAGGAUUUCGGUAUGUAAACUUCUAUUAGCAGGGAAGAAAAUGACGGUACCUGACUAAUAAGCCCCGGCUAACUCCGUGCCAGCAGCCGCGGUAAUACGUAGGGUGCAAGCGUUAUCCGGAUUUACUGGGUGUAAAGGGAGCGUAGGCGGUUUAGCAAGUCAGAUGUGAAAGCCCAGGGCUCAACUCCGGGACUGCAUUUGAAACUGUUGAACUAGAGUGCGGGAGAGGUAAGUGGAAUUCCUGGUGUAGCGGUGAAAUGCGUAGAGAUUAAGAGGAACACCAGUGGCGAAGGCGGCUUACUGGACUGUAACUGACGCUGAGGCUCGAAAGCGUGGGGAGCAAACAGGAUUAGAUACCCCUGUAGUC
RNAcentral lists this ribosomal RNA (440 nucleotides) under uncultured bacterium. RNAcentral describes it as "partial 16S ribosomal RNA". It matches the Rfam family "Bacterial small subunit ribosomal RNA", at positions 338 to 795 of the family's 1533-position model. The record is from RNAcentral.